This is a long non-coding RNA of Mauremys mutica (yellowpond turtle), 2533 nucleotides long. RefSeq lists it as uncharacterized. The transcript is spliced from 3 exons. NCBI's taxonomy places the organism in Eukaryota, Metazoa, Chordata, Testudines, Geoemydidae. The record is from RefSeq and is a predicted model, not a curated record.
AUUACUACUGGGGGAAUUCUGAGUUCCAAUCCCUGCUCCAGUGAAUAUGAUGGAUGACAACCUGCUACUACAGAAAAUGGUGGAGAUACUACAAAAACUAACAUGUUCAAAGGAUGCAUUUGGUGACUCAAGCUAAGUGCUAUGGAGUUGGUGUAGCACCAUUUUAAAGCACACUGUGAGCACAGCUAUUAUACAAAGAACCCAAAAAAAUCAUUGACUAUUUUGGCACAUGGCACUGAGGCUGGAAUUGUCAAACUCCCUCAGCUUGGCUUGGCUCCUUUUCCAUCUCCAGUACUUUAAGACAGACAGACCCCAACAUUGUAAAUCAAGUCCUCCUAUUGAAUUGAUUACUUGCAAGCAGCAUUAGCAGCCAUUGCACUUACUGCAAACUUGAUUCCCCAGGGACUGGGGCUCCUGCAGCUCUAGCAGCAGUAAGGUGCACUUGAAAGAGCAUUAGACAGAGCACAUUACUUAGAAACCAGACCCAACUAUACCACAGAGAGCCUUACAUCUAGAUUAGAAGGAGAGAAAACCAAUACGCCAACCAGCAAGCAGAUUCCCCCCUGGUUUGAAGGCAGAUUAGCCAGUUAGUCUGAUUCAGAGACAGGCACCAAGUAACAGUGUUUCUUAAAGAAUGUCUGAAUGUUAGAAACUAACAAGCUGGUACAUAGCCAGAACAGGCUAUAUACCCUUUAAGGAAAACUCAGGACAUUGACAGUAAUCCCAAAGUGUAAACAGCUUCUCCCCAGUAAACUCUCAGCUAACAUAGCAAUGCUGCCUGGCUUGACCCCAGUCUCCAGGACCUGUGGAGAAUUUGGUUAGAGAUUCCUAGGCACCCUUCUGCGUUUUGCUGUAUCAUUGGGAGGAAAUGAUGAUAAACUAUCUGCCCUGCAAAGCCACAAAUAGGUUAUUGGCUGCAUCCACAUGAGAUGAAGGGCUAUGAAGGAACUUGAAUUAUACAGUGUACAUUUAAAAGAUCCAAGGCUUAGGAUGUAUAAAAAGCUGCAUUUGAAUUAAAUACUAGUGUCUUUGUAAUACACCUAGUGAAAUUAAGGAUAUUAUAACUUGUAAAAGAGGUGGAUCACUGGCACCAGUCAGUUGUCGAGACUAGCCCUUCUAAUAUAUUUUUUUAAAUACUUAUGUGCUCUCAUCUCACUUAUACAUUGCUUAAUAACAAAUUGUGAUAGACUUAAUAUUGUCAUCCAUGUAUGCAGGUUCUAGGUACACUCAUAACCUAACAAUUAUUUUGUAACUGCGUCUCAUUUAUCACUCUUAAUCAUGCAAGCAUCCCUAACCAUCCAUGGUAGAUAAUGCUUCCAUGCGGCAAAAUGCAUUAAUAUUUCCAUUUUUGCUAAAUAAACAGACUGAUUUUUUUACUUUGAAACAUUUAUAGAUUUUUAUUUAUCAUCUAUCCUCCACACAAUCCAUUCUGGAUUCUAACAGAUCACAAAAAUCCUUGGGGAGUUUGUGCAUCCACUUUAUUAGCUUUACAUUUUAUGAAGUUUUGUUUUCUGCAGACCUCAGAGGAAAGUUUUUUUUAUAUAUUAAAAAAAGUAGUUAAGCCUUUAGUUCUUAAGUUAUAAUUACAUCCUAUGGCUGAUUCUGUCCCUGUGAUAUCCAUAGAGGCUCAGGCCCUUGGGAGCAGGAAAUCUAGUUAGAAGGGGUUAGCAGUGGUUCAAAGUGCCCAUGACUCCUUUUUCUGGUAGGGUACUGAAGUUGCUCAGCAUGACACCAAAAGUGAUGGAUGUAAUCCAGGAAGCUCCUCAAACACCAGUUGGCAGAGGGAACAUCAAACCAUAACUCUCAGCAGGCCUGACACACUCCUUGCCUCCAAUUCACUGUUAUUACCUGUAAGGUGUCAUAUGCAAACUGGUAACAUGCUAGUCAUUAAUAUUGAGUGAUGUAUGUCCAGGUGGUAUAUAAAGAACUAAAGAGAUGUGCUGGAAAUAUGUUCCUAAAAUGUGUUUGGCUGGCAGUGUCAAAGCUCAGCCUGUGCUAGAAAAAGAACUGCUGUUUUGCUGGCUUGACUGUCUCCAGUAUAAAUCAAGCAAGGUGAGACCAGACACAAUGAAAAGGUUAUCUACGUGUAAGGUAAACAAAGCCAACAGCGAGCAAGUCGGGGCAGAUGACCACUUAACAAUCUCGACAGGGAUGGAGGCUGCACCCCCCAGAAAGCUGCCUGGAGUUUUGAACUUCAGACAAUGAAAUUUAAGAAGAUAUAAAUAGAAGAAAAAAUGCCAUUUUGUUAUCUAUCACUGGAUGAAGACAGGGGGCCAGAACUAUUGUAACCAAGAAAGUUGGAUCCUUCAAACAAAGGGGUUGAAGUCUCUGAGAGCUGAGUACAGGUGAGAAACUUGAUUAAACAAAGAUGACAAAAGUCUGAGUCACUAGAAAGCAUGUUUUGUUUUGUUUUAGUGUAACCAUAUCUGUCUUCUAUUCUUACUUAUCACUUAACUAUCUGUUUUGUGUUAAUAAAGCUAUUCCUGUUUGAUUACUAGACCAUCUCAGUGCUGUGUAUUACACUGAAAGGUAA